Molecule: long non-coding RNA, 757 nt
Filed under: Olea europaea (common olive)
Lineage: Eukaryota; Viridiplantae; Streptophyta; Magnoliopsida; Lamiales; Oleaceae
Description: long non-coding RNA (OEUR_LNC000476)
Source: RNAcentral
UAUCCUUGCUACAUUGCCCAAGUUACCAAAAGUAAAACAGCUUUCAAAAAAAAAUAAAAGAAUCAAAUGCUCAUCUCUGAUACAAUCAGAUAAUAUUUAGAUUGAGUUAGCUAUCAGAAGGGGUAACAGAGAAGCAGAUGGAUCGAUAUCAAUGGCCGCGAAAAAACUGUUUUACCUUCUGACAAAUAGAUGCUUGACACCUUCUAUUAUGCCAUCUGCCAAUCCCCUUUGUCAGUGUAGCAAAACUCAUUUAGACCUUCAUCCAGCUUGAUCCACACUCAAAAGUCACUUUACACGAACCACAACAGUGUAAUUGUGUAAAGGUCCGGAAAGAAAAGAUGGCUAGUACAUGAGCAGCCCACAAACAUACACUCUGUCAACUGCUUGUAACCAUUGGCAGCAUUCCACUUCAACAGAAGUUUCUCCGUGUCCGUGUCCGUGCCUGUUCCCGUGCUCAUGCCUGUGCCCGUGUCUUCGACCUGAUUUGUCCGAGGAAGGAGGGAAAGGCUCCGGUGGAGGGACAGGUGUGACUACAGCACGCAAGAUUUACACUUGCAACCUAAGUUGCACAAAGUGGUGGGAAAACUGGGGGAUUUGGCUCUGCGUUCCAACGUACAGUCCUAGAAAUAUCACAAAGAAGAGUGCAAGCAGAAGGGGGAAGACUUGAUUCUUGGCUCUUAGACCUAAGAUAUUAUGCAAGAAAAUAAGAGCAAAACUUGAAGUAAUCCUUCUUCCUACUUAUAUAUGUAUGCUUUAC